This 253-nucleotide unclassified non-coding RNA is filed under the name uncultured Alphaproteobacteria bacterium. Its description in RNAcentral is "contains 16S-23S intergenic spacer region". It matches the Rfam family "Bacterial small subunit ribosomal RNA", at positions 524 to 776 of the family's 1533-position model. The record is from RNAcentral. Lineage: Bacteria; Pseudomonadati; Pseudomonadota; Alphaproteobacteria.
GACAGAGGUGCCGAGCGUUAGGCGGAAUUACUGGGCGUAAAGGGCGCGUAGGCGGAACAUCAAGUUAGGGGUGAAAGGCCCGGGCUCAACCUGGGAACGGCCUCUAAAACUGAUGAUCUUGGGUCCGGAAGAGGAUGGCGGAAUUCCCAGUGUAGAGGUGAAAUUCGUAGAUAUUGGGAAGAACACCGGUGGCGAAGGCGGCCAUCUGGUCCGGGACUGACGCUGAGGCGCGAAAGCGUGGGGAGCAAACAGG